RNAcentral lists this ribosomal RNA (159 nucleotides) under Lecidella carpathica. Its description in RNAcentral is "5.8S ribosomal RNA". It matches the Rfam family "5.8S ribosomal RNA". From Rfam's summary of the family: 5.8S ribosomal RNA (5.8S rRNA) is a component of the large subunit of the eukaryotic ribosome. It is transcribed by RNA polymerase I as part of the 45S precursor that also contains 18S and 28S rRNA. Lineage: Eukaryota; Fungi; Ascomycota; Lecanoromycetes; Lecanorales; Lecanoraceae. The record is from RNAcentral.
AAAACUUUCAACAACGGAUCUCUUGGUUCUGGCAUCGAUGAAGAACGCGGCGAAAUGCGAUAAGUAAUGUGAAUUGCAGAAUUCAGUGAAUCAUCGAAUCUUUGAACGCACAUUGCGCCCCUCGGUAUUCCGGGGGGCAUGCCUGUUCGAGCGUCAUUG